RNAcentral lists this ribosomal RNA (1674 nucleotides) under Triticum aestivum (bread wheat). RNAcentral describes it as "partial small subunit ribosomal RNA". Lineage: Eukaryota; Viridiplantae; Streptophyta; Magnoliopsida; Poales; Poaceae. The record is from RNAcentral.
AUGCAGAAGCUAAUAAGAUAUGGUAUUGUCUUGGAACGAACAGGGGAGCUGACAUUACAGGCCUGGUCUGCACCAAUGGAGGCAAUGCGCAAAAAGGAGGCAGCAGCAACGGCUUGUUCUGAAGACAACCGUAAAGGUGUACAUGGUGUAUCCAUGAAUGGGCUAUACGAUCCUUGGAAUCCUGCCUACCCUCCACGUGAUCCUAGUCCAUGCGAUGCUGACAUGGCUGCUCAUAUCGCAUCAGUCAAGGAGUGGAUGGACAAAACACAGGCUAUACUUGCUAACUCCAGAGCAACCAAUAUAAUCAUACCAGAUCGUACUCCGCAGUUCGUAAAUGAUGUGCUCUUCGAUAUAUUACCCGCCUUGGUGCCAAUCUUGGAAAAGGAUAAUGUCAGAUCUUUCCUUCGCUUCCUCAAUGAGAAUGGAAGGGCCAUGUCUUGGGGUUUCAUCAUCACGCCAGAAACUUUAAACCAGAUAAUCGUGUCUAAUGCAGUGCGAUGUGCCAAAGUUGUCUUGGUUGGUGAUGAUCCUGAGCUUCAUGGUUUCCGAGCCAAUCCCAACUGCAUGACACAAUAUGGGUACUUUUCCCUCCACCGAGCUGCUGAUAUGUUCUCUGUUGAUAUGAUUGAGUUGCUCUUGCGCCAUGGUGCGUCUGCCAAUCUACGCACAUCUGGUGAUCUAGUCCCUGCUGACCUACUCCCACUCCAUGUUGCGGUUGAGAACACUUCCAUGCAUAAGUACCUUGAGGACAGUCUAAAUCCUAGUCAACAGCGUGUGGACUGCAGCCAGGCAGACAUCAACUAUAUCCUCAAGCUCAUCCACAUCCUGUGCCUACCUGAAAUGAAAAUCUUCUUGGAUACAACUAGGCUGCUAGCCAAACACACAGAUGAUCUGUUAGAUGAGCUCUGCAAGUACAUAGUAGAUGGGAAGAUCGUCCAUACGGCUGUUUUGCUCCUAGCAGCUCAAAAGCAGAUCCGCGGGCUAUCUUCCUGCAAUGGAUGUGGGAGUAGUAAGAAAGAUGGGUUUGGUACUAUCACUAACUUUGUCGUGGACAACAUUACUGCUAUAAAGAUGCGCCAAAACAGACUGGAAAUGGAGCCACUAGAGGUGAAAAAGGAGCUUCUUGAUGUUACAUUGAAUCUUGUUCAUGUAAUUUUCAAAGCUGGUGAAGCUCUUGAUGUUUACAUAAGGUCUCAUCCAAAGAUUCCCUGUGUCAUGGAAGUGGCCCAUGCGGAGGUCUUUGAACAUGUUACGCUCAUUCUGAAGGAUCAUGGAUUUUUUUCUAUUGGAGAUGGCAUAGAUAUUGGAAAUCUCCACCCCUAUCGGAAUGUGCUAUCCUCUCAAGAGCUACCUCACAAAUUAGCGGAGAUGGCUAGGAUCAAAGCAGGUCUGAAAGUGCCUUGUCUGCGAAAUGGAAAGCCUAAAGUGAAGAAAGAUCCCAGGGGAUGGGAGCUCAAAUUUGCAAGGAGAAGUUUCUUCCAAUCUCAAAGAUCAGUGUUAACAUCAGAGCUUAGUGUGAAGUUCUUCGCUCAUAAGGAGAAGACCUCGGAUAAGUCAACCGGCAAAGCAUCUAUGUUCAUGGGCGGAACUCUGCAGCCAAAAUUUAAUUAUCAGCCCAGAAGGAUGUUUGGUACAGUGGCAUUGACGCUGUUGAAAGCGCUAAGGAAGGCAUGA